This 253-nucleotide ribosomal RNA is filed under the name uncultured bacterium. RNAcentral's name for it is "partial 16S ribosomal RNA". It matches the Rfam family "Bacterial small subunit ribosomal RNA", at positions 524 to 776 of the family's 1533-position model. The record is from RNAcentral.
UACGUAGGGGGCAAGCGUUAUCCGGAUUUACUGGGUGUAAAGGGAGCGUAGACGGCCAGACAAGUCUGAAGUGAAAAUCCAGCGCUUAACGUUGGAAGUGCUUUGGAAACUGCCGGGCUAGAGUGCAGGAGGGGCAGGCGGAAUUCCUAGUGUAGAGGUGAAAUGCGUAGAUAUUAGGAGGAACACCAGUGGCGAAGGCGGCCUGCUGGACUGCAACUGACGUUGAGGCUCGAAGGCGUGGGGAGCAAACAGG